GUGGAGAUUUGUAGUAGUAUGGUGGUGAGACGUAAUGUGGGGGUGGUGGUGGAGAUUUGUAGUAGUAAGGUGGUGGAGGAGAUGGUGAAGGUGGUGGUGGAGACUUGUAGUAGUAAGGUGGUGGUGGUGAGGGUGAUGGAGGUGGUGGAGACUUGUAGUAGUAUGGGGGUUGUUCUUCAUGCUUUGGUGGUGGUGGUGGGGACUUGUAGUAGUAAGGAGGUGGUGGAGAUGGUGAAGGUGGUGGUGGAGAUUUAUAGUAGUAAGGUGGUGGUGGUGAGGGUGAUGGAGGUGGUGGAGACUUGUAGUAGUAUGGGGGUUGUUCUUCAUGCUUUGGUGGUGGUGGUGGAGAUUUGUAGUAGUAUGGAGGAGGUGGUGAUGGAGACGGAGGUGGUGGGGACUUGUAGUAGUAAGGAGGAGGUGGUGAUGGAGAUGGAG
RNAcentral lists this long non-coding RNA (435 nucleotides) under Gossypium barbadense (sea-island cotton). RNAcentral describes it as "long non-coding RNA (GBAR_LNC023459)". The record is from RNAcentral. Lineage: Eukaryota; Viridiplantae; Streptophyta; Magnoliopsida; Malvales; Malvaceae.